UGGCGGACGGGUGAGUAAUGUCUGGGAAACUGCCUGAUGGAGGGGGAUAACUACUGGAAACGGUAGCUAAUACCGCAUAACGUCGCAAGACCAAAGAGGGGGACCUUCGGGCCUCUUGCCAUCGGGUGUGCCCAGAUGGGAUUAGCUAGUAGGUGGGGUAACGGCUCACCUAGGCGACGAUCCCUAGCUGGUCUGAGAGGAUGACCAGCCACACUGGAACUGAGACACGGUCCAGACUCCUACGGGAGGCAGCAUG
RNAcentral lists this ribosomal RNA (256 nucleotides) under uncultured bacterium. RNAcentral describes it as "partial 16S ribosomal RNA". It matches the Rfam family "Bacterial small subunit ribosomal RNA", at positions 96 to 353 of the family's 1533-position model. The record is from RNAcentral.